UUCUCUUCAUUCUUGAAAUCCCUAGCCAUAUGUCAUUCCCACUGGAUCUUGACACGUGAUUUGGCUCAGAUUCUUUCUGAAUAUCUCUAGCUGUACUUAAAUAAUUCUAAAUACAUCUGAUGGAAGGUUAAAACAAGACUUGUGUUUUUCUUCUUCUUUUUUCUUUUUCCUUUUUAAUUCGACAUUGUGCUCGCCUCUUCUCUCUCUUUUCAUGCCUCUUUCCCCUAAGCUUCCUUGCAUUUUCCUGACCUUCAAUUUUAGCCGUCCAGUAGAUCGCGUAGCCAAAAAGAUAUUAUCUUUUCACUGUUCUUCCCACGUGGGAACUUUUGCUUUUGUCGACAGAAACGUUUGAGGACCUUGACUAUGCGUAUUUCGAAUUUAUUCAUCUGCGCUGCAACCACACAAACCACUGCCCAGAAAAAAUAAUUUAUUAUGAAAUAACUUCUUCUGCUCGAGUCGGAUCGGAAGGCCAACUUGUGCAUAAUUUGUAGUUGGUCUUAUCUGAACCAGUAUCAAUUAAUGGAUGCCAGGAAAGCCCAUAAAGCCUCCUCUUCAUCCUCACCAUCCUCUUCAUCAAAACGUUGGGAGUACCAAGUGUUCUUGAGCUUCAGAGGUGAAGACACACGCAAGGGCUUCACAGGCCACCUCCACGCCGCAUUAUCUGGUGACGGAUUCCGCGCCUUUCUUGAUGACAACGAGCUAAAAAGGGCGGAAUUUAUAAAAACCCAACUGGAGCAGGCAAUCGACGGGUCCAUGAUCUCCAUAAUUGUCUUCUCCAAGAGGUAUGCCGAUUCCAGUUGGUGUCUUGACGAGCUGGUGAAGAUCAUGGAGUGCAGAGAAAGGCAACAGGUUUUUCCAUUGUUCUAUAAUGUUGAUGCUUCAGAUGUCCGGAAACAAACUGGUAGUUUUGCACAAGCAUUUGAGAAACAUGAAGCGGGCAUCUGUGAAGGUAAACAUGAGAAAGAAAAGGUACAGCGGUGGAGAAAUGCUCUCACUCAAGCUGCAGAUUUGUGUGGGGAAGAUCUCAAAAAUGCUGAUGGGCAUGAAGCAAAGUUUAUCAAGAAAAUUCUUGGGAAGGUUAAUAACUUGGUGAACAGCAAAUACCAAUUAGAGACCGAAGACCUUGUUGGAAUUACUUCUCGGGUGAACGAUGUUGUUCGCAUGAUUGGUAUUGAAAAUUCAGGUUCUAAGGAUGUUGUUCGCAUGAUUGGUAUUGAAAAUUCAGGUUCUAAGGAUGUUGUUCGCAUGAUUGGUGUUUUGGGGAUGGGCGGCAUUGGAAAAACAACGCUUGCCAAAACCAUUUAUAACAAAUUUGGACCUAUCUUUGAAGGUAGGAGUUUCCUUGCAGACGUGAGGGAAGUAUUUGCAAACCAACGCAGUAAUGGUCUGGUUGGUUUGCAAGAACAACUUCUAAAUGAUAUCUUGAAAAAGGAGGGCAUAAAGGUUGGAUCUGUUGCUAAAGGGAUCGAUAUGAUAAGAGAAAGACUUUGCUGUAAAAGAGCACUUGUCAUAAUUGACGAUGCAGAUGAUCUACAGCAACUACAAGCAAUAGCUAGAGCUCGUGAUUGGUUUGGUCCUGGAAGUAGAAUUGUUAUAACAACAAGAAAUCAACAUUUGCUAGACCAAGUUGGAGUGGAUAGCACAUAUAUGGCUCAAGCAAUGGACGAGGAAGAAGCUCUAGAGCUCUUUAGUUGGCAUGCCUUUGAAAUUGGUUAUCCUGAUCAAGAAUAUCUUGACCUCUCAAAACGUGUAAUUCGUUACUGUCAAGGCUUGCCACUAGCGCUUCGAGUUGUAGGGUCUUUUCUGAUUAAAAGACCCACAGCGGAGUGGGAAAGCCACUUGGAGAAAUUGGAAAGAAGUCCUGAUGGAGAUAUUCAAAAAAUACUCAGAAUAAGCUUUGACGGGCUACCUGAUGAGGAAAAGAGAGAGAUAUUCCUUGAUAUAUCUUGUUUCUUUAUAGGAAUGGACAAGGACUAUGUAACACAAAUAUUAAAGGGAUGUGGCUUUUCUGCAACCGAUAGGAAUCAGUGUCCUCAUUGAACGGUGCCUUGUAACUGUUAGUGAGGAAAACGAGCUGAUGAUGCAUGAUUUGCUUCGAGACAUGGGAAGAGAAAUCGUUCGUGAAAAGUCCACCGGCCGUCCUGAAAAAUUUAGUAGAUUGUGGAAACGUGAAGACGUAAUAGAUGUACUGAACGUGAUGAAUCUGUAAGGAACUAAAAAAAUUGAAGGAGUUGCUCUACAUGGCUCUUACGGGCCUAGAUUCAGUGGACAAGCAUUUACCAACAUGAAAAAACUGACUAGAUUCAGUGCACAAGCAUUUACCAACUUGAAAAAACUGAGGUUACUCCGCCUCAGCGGAGUAGAGCUCACUGGAGAGUACAAAGAUUUUCCCAAAAAGUUAAUAUGGUUGUGCUGGCAUGGAUUCCCUUUAGAGUCCAUACGAGAUGACUUUCCUGUGCAACCAAAACUAGUUGCUUUAGACCUGCAGUAUAGCCAACUCAAAAUAGUUUGGAAGGAUUGCAAGUUGCAUCAGAAUUUGAAAAUCCUUAAUCUCAGCCAUUCCUAUGAGCUAACAAAAUCACCAGACUUUUCAAAACUCCCAAAUCUCGAGGAAUUGAUAUUGAAACGCUGUGAGAGUUUGUCUGAGGUUCACUCAUCCAUCGGGGAUCUUGGAAGACUUUCUUUGGUAAAUCUUGAAGGCUGCGUAAGCCUAAAGGAUCUUCCACUGAAUUUCUAUAAAUCCAAGUCUAUUGAAACUCUUCUACUUAAUUGGUGUUUAAGUUUUGAAAAGUUGGCUGAGGGCUUAGGGGACAUGGUAUCAUUGACAACUCUGAAAGCGGAUGUGACAGCCAUAAGACAAAUACCAUCUUCCAUAUUAAAAUUGAAGAAACUGAAAGUUUUAUCUUUAUGUGAUCUUUUGCCUCCUUCGUUGCAAAGUUUAAGCUCUUUAAGAGAUUUAGCUCUUGCAGACCGGAGUUUAACUGAUGAUGCAUUCCCCAAGGAUCUCGGUAGCCUAAUUUCCUUAGAAAAUUUAGAUUUGGCAGGAAAUGAUUUUUGCAGCCUACCAAGCUUCAGUCGUCUUUCAAAGCUUCAUGAUUUGUCUUUAAAUGUGUGCGAAAAUCUUCGUGCAAUCCCAGAUUUACCAACAAAUUUGAAAGUCUUAAAAGCAGGAUAUUGCUUAGAAUUGGAAAAAAUGCCAGAUUUUUCAGAAAUGUCAAAUAUAAAAGAAUUGUAUCUAAGUGGUUCGGACAAACUCACUGAGAUUCCAGGCCUGGAUAAGUCAUUAAACUCCAUGACAAUGAUUUAUAUGGAUGGCUGCACUAAUCUCACUGCUGAUUUUAGGAAGAACAUCCUACAGGGAUGGACUUCUUGCGGAUAUGGUGGCAUUUUUCUCAGUGGAAAUGAUAUUCCUGAUUGGUUCGACUAUGUCCAUGACGAUGAUAUUGUGUAUUUCACUGUGCCUCGAAGUGUUGGUCGUAAUUUUAAAGGGUUAACUUUGUCCUUCGUUUCCUCUCCAGUCUUUUUAAGUCGUCGUAGUAGCAUUAGCAUUAAAAACAUGACCAAGGGUGCUGAGCUUGAAGCCAGGAUCAUACCCGAUUGUCCAAUUGACGAGCUCAAUUACAAGCCAGGUUAUUAUCUUUGGCAGGGACAGUUAUCAAAUGACGAGCUCAAAUUGCAAGACGGUGAUAAAGUCUUGAUUGAAAUAAUAGUGGGGGAAUAUGAUGAUGGGGUGAAGGUGAAGAAAACAGGUGUUAGUCUGGUAUGGGACAAAUUUAUGAACGAAAAUAUGAUUGAUUACCAUCUUUGUGCGUAUGAACGACGCCCAUCUCAAAAUCUGGUCAAUGAUGAUGACAUCAUUCAUGUCGAAGAUGAUAAUCACAUAACAAAAUCACCAGACUUUUCAAAAUUCCCAAAUCUCGAGAAGUUGAUAUUGAAAGGUUGUGAACAGUUGUAUAAGAUUCACUCAUCCAUCGGGGAUCUUGGAAGACUUUCUUUGGUAAAUCUUGAAGACUGCAAAAUGCUAAGGGAUCUCCCACUGAAUUUCUAUAAAUCCAAGUCUAUUGAAACUCUUAUACUGAAUGGUUGUUCAAGAUUUGAAGACUUGGCUGAUGGCUUAGGGGACAUGGCCUCAUUGAAAAUUUUGAGAGCAAAUAAGACAGCCAUC
RNA transcript from Prunus dulcis (almond), 4165 nucleotides. It is a transcript of the gene named disease resistance protein RUN1-like, with no coding region annotated. The transcript is spliced from 5 exons. NCBI's taxonomy places the organism in Eukaryota, Viridiplantae, Streptophyta, Magnoliopsida, Rosales, Rosaceae. The record is from RefSeq and is a predicted model, not a curated record.